RNAcentral lists this transfer RNA (85 nucleotides) under Candidatus Omnitrophota bacterium. RNAcentral's name for it is "Candidatus Omnitrophica bacterium tRNA-Leu". It matches the Rfam family "tRNA". Rfam says of the family: Transfer RNA (tRNA) molecules are approximately 80 nucleotides in length. Their secondary structure includes four short double-helical elements and three loops (D, anti-codon, and T loops). Further hydrogen bonds mediate the characteristic L-shaped molecular structure. tRNAs have two regions of fundamental functional importance: the anti-codon, which is responsible for specific mRNA codon recognition, and the 3' end, to which the tRNAs corresponding amino acid is attached (by aminoacyl-tRNA synthetases). tRNAs cope with the degeneracy of the genetic code in two manners: having more than one tRNA (with a specific anti-codon) for a particular amino acid; and 'wobble' base-pairing, i.e. permitting non-standard base-pairing at the 3rd anti-codon position. The record is from RNAcentral. Lineage: Bacteria; Pseudomonadati; Candidatus Omnitrophota.
GGGCGGAUGGCGAAACUGGCAGACGCGCAUGGUUUAGGACCAUGUGGAGAAAUCCUUGGAGGUUCAAGUCCUCUUCCGCCCACCA